Micropterus dolomieu (smallmouth bass) is the source of this 663-nucleotide long non-coding RNA. RefSeq lists it as uncharacterized. The record is from RefSeq and is a predicted model, not a curated record. NCBI's taxonomy places the organism in Eukaryota, Metazoa, Chordata, Actinopteri, Centrarchiformes, Centrarchidae. The transcript is spliced from 3 exons.
UGAUGAGCUUGCUGUUAUUCCCCUCCCUCCAUUACCUAUAACUUGCCUACGUAACAUAUCAGCGGCGCGCGACCACACGUGAGAGAGGACAACAAACACCUGAAGCUGCUGAGACAUUCAUCAUUCAUCAUAAAUUUCACACAACAAGACCCAAACAAAGAUGCGCUGAACUCAAAAUAGCUAUGACCUACGGGUGUUCUGGUGGCAGCCCGGCUGACGGUGAGUGUCCUGGCUUUUUCUCCUUUUUGUCUGUGAUUCAGUUUUUUUCUCUGUUCUGCCUGCCUCCCUGUGUCUCCUCCCCUGUGUGUUCCUGCUCUUUCUCUCUCCCUCUGCUCCUGAGCACAGCCAACGACCCGCACUUGCACCUCAUCAGCCACCUCCUCUGCCUGCCCCACCUGCCAGCAAUCAGCCGCAUCUCCAACAGUUCUUCUACCCCUGUUCUCCAGUCAACCCCUGCUUGAUCGUCGUUGCCCCAAACCCGGUCCACUCCCCCUCGUCCUCCGUCUGGUCAGCUGGGCUCACUCACCUGCCCGGCCGAGGAGAUGCAGUGCCAGCAUACAAAAUGUGAACACGUCAAAUGCCAACACCAAAUCUGAAGGAUAACGUCUUUUGGUCUUUUAUGUUUCUGUCUUCCCCCAAGUGCCUGUAGGUUUCUCUAUUAGG